Molecule: ribosomal RNA, 720 nt
Filed under: Acinetobacter sp. SS1
Lineage: Bacteria; Pseudomonadati; Pseudomonadota; Gammaproteobacteria; Moraxellales; Moraxellaceae
Description: bacterial SSU rRNA
Rfam family: Bacterial small subunit ribosomal RNA
Source: RNAcentral
CUAAAGGAAUGCUAAUACCGCAUACGUCCUACGGGAGAAAGCAGGGGAUCUUCGGACCUUGCGCUAUUAGAUGACCUUACUUCCGAUUACCUAGCUGGGGGGGUAAAGGCCUACCAAGGCGACGAUCUGUUUCGGUUUUGAAAGGAUGAUCCGCCCCUCUGGGAUUGACACACGUCCCACACUACUACGGGAGGCAGCAGUGGGGAAUAUUGGACAAUGGGCGCAAGCCUGAUCCAGCCAUGCCGCGUGUGUGAAGAAGGCCUUAUGGUUGUAAAGCACUUUAAGCGAGGAGGAGGCUACUUUAGUUAAUACCUAGAGAUAGUGGACGUUACUCGCAGAAUAAGCACCGGCUAACUCUGUGCCAGCAGCCGCGGUAAUACAGAGGGUGCAAGCGUUAAUCGGGAUUUACUGGGGGGUAAAGCGCGCGUAGGCGGCUAAUUAAGUCAAAUGUGAAAUCCCCCGAGCUUAACUUGGAAAUUGCAUUCAAUACUGGUUAGCUAGAGUGUGGGAGAGGAUGGUAGAAUUCCAGGUGUAGCGGUGAAAUGCGUAGAGAUCUGGAGGAAUACCGAUGGCGAAGGCAGCCAUCUGGCCUAACACUGACGCUGAGGUGCGAAAGCAUGGGGAGCAAACAGGAUUAGAUACCCUGGUAGUCCAUGCCCGUAAACGAUGUCUACUAGCCGUUGGGGCCUUUGAGCUUUAGUGGCGCAGCUACGCGAUAGU